CAGAAAGGGGAGAGGGAAAAGGAAAUUAAAUCACCAUAUGUUAAAAUAUCAGGCCAAAAAAUAAGCUAUGACUGCGCUGUGUACGUUAUGAAGUGGAUGGAGUUAAUUGAGCCAGAAAACAUCAAAAAGGGGAAGUAUCAAUGGGAUAAUUGGCCACAGGAGGAGGUGGACCACUAUAGAGUGGAGUACGCUUCCCGGAUACUAUUCAGUGAGAUGAAUACACAGAGAGAUCGGGCAAUUAGAGAGAGUAGUGCUAUAAGGCUGUCGAAGCCAUCCUCUGUAUUAUUAAGUCCGUUUUGUCAGAUUAAUUCUGCUGAUAUAGAAACU
Non-coding RNA from Arachis ipaensis, 327 nucleotides. Lineage: Eukaryota; Viridiplantae; Streptophyta; Magnoliopsida; Fabales; Fabaceae. The record is from RefSeq and is a predicted model, not a curated record.